AUUAACUAUUUGGAUAUGGAUAAUGUACAGAACUACAAUUCUAUUUUGUUUUACACUAUUACGUGAUUGUAUUUCUCCCUCAACCAAGUUUGGAUAAUAUCUCCUNCNGUACUUUCUCCUGCAAAGCUUUCUUUCAAUUUCAUACUCACACACCUGACCUUCAAAAGCUUCUACNUGAUAUAUCCAUUUUAAAAUCCAAAACUCUUAUAAAAAGGGCAAGACCUCUCAUAUGGCAAUGGUUAACAUGAUUAGUGGUAAACUCAUAGACCUUACACCNUGAUAUUGGCCCUAUUCAAGAACAAUUAGCCAGAUCUGUAACACUUAAGCCCUUGAUUCUCCCUUUCAUCAUAUAUGAAUGUUUUGACACUAGU
Molecule: long non-coding RNA, 371 nt
Filed under: Vigna radiata
Lineage: Eukaryota; Viridiplantae; Streptophyta; Magnoliopsida; Fabales; Fabaceae
Description: long non-coding RNA (VRAD_LNC005231)
Source: RNAcentral